Molecule: long non-coding RNA, 3132 nt
Organism: Lolium rigidum
Lineage: Eukaryota; Viridiplantae; Streptophyta; Magnoliopsida; Poales; Poaceae
Exons: 3
Source: RefSeq, a predicted model, not a curated record
UCCUCAGCCUGCGACGCUGACUCCCACUCCCGGGUCAACAAGGGUUCCGUCAACAAGGAAGGCAAUGUCAUCUCCGUUUCUUCCAGAUUCUUAUCCACGGAUUCCUUAGAGCAACUAUGUGACCUUCAUUAUUUUGGCUGCUAGACAGGUACACUUGCUGAAUCAUUGGAUUGUACCACUCUUUUUAGAUUAUUUGUAAUUUAUGUGUCCAUUUAAACUAACUUUAUACUGCGUGGUACUCUUUAUUUUUCAAGUUUUAGCAAAUAUUUGCAUCUAACUACAUCCUUCUAUGUACCUGACCUACCUUUCCUUCUCUUUAUUACCGUGUAUAUCACAGGAUGUACCUAUAAAGAAAAAAUGAAAAAGCGUUCUCGAGUAGGAACCCAAGUUAACGAUGCCUGCCAACCAUGUUUUUUUCGGGCUCGAGUAGUUCUGUGCCCGAGAGUAAGAGGGUAAGGAUUAAUGAACCAAUUGCUAUGUCCAAUCCCAUUUUUCAAAGAAAAAGAAGUAUGUUCGCUCAACCCUACAUACGCCGCUUUAAGAGAUUUUGUUUUUGUUAUCUUGCUCUUCAUGGUUCCAUUGCUGGUUUUGUGUUUAUAAAACAUAGAAGAUGUUUUCUUCAGUACACUCUGUCCAACAUGCAAAAGGAAACCCCGCUGAUCGUAUUAGACUGAAGAAGCAAAAAAGUUAUGGUCUUAGCAGGACCACCACUUGAUCCCAGUGGAGAACCCGAAUUACCCCUCACUGUUGAAUUCGUUGAAGCCCUAGAAGGCGCAGGCAACUUAAUAUGAUGUACAAAAAAUAUAUUUAAUGUACUCACUUAAAAUUUUAUUCUACCUGCUACCUUUUUUAUUCCAGCUACAUUCUGUGGCCGAUCAAAUUUGGAAGGCCCCAAAAGGAUUAUAGCUGGCUAAAGACUAAAGAGGCGUGUUGAAUUUAAUCGGUGUUGCAGCGGUGGCCGUGUUCAUAUUGAGCCCUUCCAGGCACCUCCCCCGGUGCUUGCACGGUUGAUGCGGUUCAAUGGUGGUCAAGAGAGGCAUUUCCAUUAGAAUAUUGUCUCCACAAUCUGAUUCGAAGGGGAAAAUUUAUGCAUCGGCAUUUAAAAGCAGUUUGUUUUGUCCAUUUUUGUGUCUUCCCUUUUCAGGAAUAUAAGUGGAUUACUUAACUAUUGCCAGAAUAUCUGUGGGCCUGAUAGAGUUUGUGAGCAAAAUAGGCAGAUUCUUUUCAACAUUCUCACACCAGAGACACAUGCAAGGUAUAUGUUCUUCAUUUACGUUCUUAGCUUAUACUCCCUCCGUUCCUUUCUAUAAUGCCUAUUGUUUUUCCGCUUUUGUUUUAGAAUAUAAGAGUAAAGCUAUGUUUUUUUCAAAGAACCCCUUCCACCGAUCUGUUCCCGUCUAGAAAAUCUGGAAACGAAUAUGUUCCCGUCGAGAAAAUCUGGAAACCAAUCUGUUCCCGUCGAGAAAAUCUGGAAACCAAUCUGAUUAUGGAAAGAAUAGCGGGAGAGAGGGAGUACAUGACGCGAUCUGUUAUGGAAACAGGAUUAUUUUCUGAGAUCUGAUUUCAGUUUCCUAUUUUAUCUCUAAGAUCGCUAGGGGGUUUUGUGUAAAAAAAUAGCUUGCGCUAAUUUCCGUGCCAAAAUACAAUAGGCACUAUAGAAAGGAACGGAGGGAGUAUAAUUUUCAAGAUAAAUACAAAACUAUACUUCCUGGGUUUGAAGUAUAUAUCAUUACAUGUAUCUUCUUCUUUUGAGUGCACUUUCAGAUAUCUUUGUAUCACUGUUAAACUAAUAUUCUUCUGAAAAUGUAGUGGAAACUAUCCAUGUCUAUUUUUGCUGCUUUCCAUUAAUGUUAUAUGGUGAUAAUUACGUACAAUGGAAAGCAAUUAUGUGAAUAUAUAUCGCACUAUAAUUCUGACUGGAUCAGGUAUGGCUUAAAAUAAAUAUGCUCUGGCAGUUAGAUUAGUGCACUUGAACAUGCCAUUUUGUCUGCAGUUAUUUGUUCAGGAAUGUAAUUUGUACCAUUCAAAUCUUUAUUAAGUAUUUGAACCGGCCAAGUCUUUUAAACAUUUAUAUCACCGAGGCUGGUUCCCCAUCUGACCAUGUGAACUUACGACCUCUGCACUGUCAAGCCAGGCAUAUGAAACCUAUGUUCAAAGGACCUAGAUAUUUGUCCAGUUUUGCUAUGGUAAUACUUUCUGCUGGAUGAAUUCGCUGAAGAAGAUGGGUUAAACUUGUACCAUGUGCAAGGAACACUCAAAGAGUGGGUUGCAAGAGAUCAAAUCCAUUGCUCGUUGCUAAGAAAUGGUUUUGGGUCAUGUUUCUCUGCUUUUCCAUUAUUCUACGUGAAAGAAGGCCACAUCAUAGUGAUCUAUAAAAAUUAUAUUGGUUGCUUAUUUGAUUUUAUUUGCAUAUUUUUGCAGCUAAUUAGCACCUGCUUGGUGAUGCUCAAUCAAUGCUACAAGUCAUGGAAGAUUUUGGAAACAGUAGUAUUUUUUAUCUCCCCAAGAAUUAUAGAGAUGUCCUAAAAAUGAUGUCUUAAUAACCAACCUUCACGUCUUUUAUACGAGUAAUGAUCCUUCAUCUCAUUAAUCAAAUACGAAAUUUCAGUGAAGGCCAUAUGUUCCUUAACAGUUAUCUUUUAGCACCCAGAUUGUAUUAUGUGCUUAUAUUCUGUCACUAUUCAUUAAAAUUCAUCUGGCCACUGAUUCAAAUCGGGUGUUUAUUACUCCGAUCAGAUGUGUUCACUUGGGCAAGUGAGGGUUGGAUCUUGCCCUCUGCAAUUUCUUUUGUAGUGAGGCUCUGUUCUUGCUCUUGAAUACCGAUGAAAAGUACUGGUUAGUGCCAAUAUUGAGCAAGCAAAUAACCUAAAACAAUGACAAUGGAAUAUAUAUUAUAUCUUUCUGUCGCAUAUGAUACUGGUUUGUAUCUCACUCUUUCAUAAAGAUGGGAUAGAACAAGCAAUAUUUUUAUCAGUUCCUUUUAGGAGUACCGAAUUGACUGUUAUGUAGGUAUGUUGACUGACAAGUAUGUAUUACUCAACUAGAAAAGAAGCUUUGGGUGUUGGGUUCACGGCAGCAGUUCAAAAGUAUCCAGUAUGACAAGAACUUGAGGGAUAUGCACUGGUUCUGGCU